RNAcentral lists this transfer RNA (62 nucleotides) under Agriotes sp. GTI-106. RNAcentral's name for it is "tRNA-Cys". The record is from RNAcentral. Lineage: Eukaryota; Metazoa; Arthropoda; Insecta; Coleoptera; Elateridae.
GGUUUUGUAGUCAAUGAUGAUUUUAAAUUGCAAAUUUAAAGGUGAAUUUAAUUCCAAGACUU